CGAAGAGGGCAAACUAUUCGAAAGGAUAGGACGCAAAGCUACAGGGGCUUCUUCUACAUGAAAAGCCAGCCAGCUGC
This 77-nucleotide non-coding RNA is filed under the name uncultured Xylanibacillus sp. RNAcentral describes it as "Cyclic di-GMP-I riboswitch". It matches the Rfam family "c-di-GMP-I riboswitch aptamer". Rfam says of the family: GEMM was predicted in a large-scale screen for bacterial structured RNA regulatory elements. Genes associated with GEMM are involved in a diverse array of functions, including chemotaxis regulation, signal transduction, secretion and chitin. The record is from RNAcentral. Lineage: Bacteria; Bacillati; Bacillota; Bacilli; Caryophanales; Paenibacillaceae.